GGCCCUAUGGUCAAGCGGUUAAGACACCGCCCUUUCACGGCGGUAACCCGGGUUCGAUUCCCGGUAGGGUCACCA
This 75-nucleotide transfer RNA is filed under the name Bacillota bacterium. RNAcentral's name for it is "tRNA-Glu(ttc)". It matches the Rfam family "tRNA". From Rfam's summary of the family: Transfer RNA (tRNA) molecules are approximately 80 nucleotides in length. Their secondary structure includes four short double-helical elements and three loops (D, anti-codon, and T loops). Further hydrogen bonds mediate the characteristic L-shaped molecular structure. tRNAs have two regions of fundamental functional importance: the anti-codon, which is responsible for specific mRNA codon recognition, and the 3' end, to which the tRNAs corresponding amino acid is attached (by aminoacyl-tRNA synthetases). tRNAs cope with the degeneracy of the genetic code in two manners: having more than one tRNA (with a specific anti-codon) for a particular amino acid; and 'wobble' base-pairing, i.e. permitting non-standard base-pairing at the 3rd anti-codon position. Lineage: Bacteria; Bacillati; Bacillota. The record is from RNAcentral. RNAcentral also lists the same sequence under 7 other names.